UUGCUUCUGAAUAAAAUCUUAGCUAAACCAGCAUAAGAUCACUUUUUGUUUACAAGGGAAGCAGUUAUAAAAUAGCUAUCUAAUAAUUGGAGUCGGCCUACGGAACCUAUGGAAUUGAGAAUCCAGUCUUGCAGAAUUUUCAGUCUUGUAGCUUACCUUGCCCAGCAUGCUGAUCGUGCAUAUUUUCACAGCUAUGUUUGUGUGGUGUUCCAUUGAUGGGGACUUCUGAACUUCCCACUGCCAUGAACAGACCACCAACUGAUUAAGAAAAGCUUGAAAGUGUAUCCUGAGAAGUUUCCUCUUCAGCGGACAAAAAAGAACUGAGGAGGAGGGUGUGGAGCACGUGACCAAGGUGUGAGGGGAGGAGCCUAUCCACUUAUCAGAGAGCCAGAAAAGGUUUAGCUUGUGAGUGUUCCGGAGGUUUUCUUCACGCAGGCGUGAAGCUCAUCUGUAUGAUGGACGGAGACCACUUAGAAGAACUGCACUGGCUGCCAAUAUGUUUCCAAGUGAAAUACAAAGUUCUGGUUUUACCUAUA
Molecule: long non-coding RNA, 536 nt
Organism: Hemicordylus capensis (graceful crag lizard)
Lineage: Eukaryota; Metazoa; Chordata; Lepidosauria; Squamata; Cordylidae
Exons: 3
Source: RefSeq, a predicted model, not a curated record